Molecule: ribosomal RNA, 548 nt
Filed under: uncultured archaeon
Lineage: Archaea
Description: bacterial SSU rRNA
Rfam family: Bacterial small subunit ribosomal RNA
Source: RNAcentral
CAGCAGCCGCGGUAAGACGUAGGGGGCUAGCGUUGUCCGGAAUUACUGGGCGUAAAGGGCGCGCAGGCGGCUUGGUAAGUUACUCGUGAAAAGCACUGGCUCAACUGGUGUCUUGCGGGUAAAACUGCUGAGCUUGAGUGCAGUAGAGGGAAGUGGAAUUCCUAGUGUAGCGGUGAAAUGCGUAGAUAUUAGGAAGAACACCAGUGGCGAAGGCGGCUUUCUGGGCUGCAACUGACGCUGAGGCGCGAAAGCUGGGGGAGCGAACGGGAUUAGAUACCCCGGUAGUCCCAGCCGUAAACUAUGUUCACUAGGUGUAGGAGGUAUCGACCCCUUCUGUGCCGAAGCAAACGCAUUAAGUGAACCGCCUGGGGAGUACGUCCGCAAGGAUGAAACUCAAAGGAAUUGACGGGGGCCCGCACAAGCGGUGGAGUAUGUGGUUUAAUUCGAUGCAACGCGAAGAACCUUACCAGGACUUGACAUGUAGACAAAAGCCAAUGGAAACGUAGGUGUUCAUCUUCGGAUGAGGUUUACACAGGUGGUGCAUGGCC